AUCAAAUUCCGCAGCGCUCUACAAUGGGUGGACGAACAGACAUGUAGUUGUAACCAGACAAGUUGGACACACAGGAACAGAGGGGUUGAGGGCCCUGCUCAAUGAGCUUACAUGCUAGAGGGAGUGGGGUAAAGUGACACAAAAGGUAAGGAUAGUAUUAGACUAGUGACAGUUGCAGAAGAGGAAUCAAUCAGGAGCUAUUAACAGUUUAAUUU
RNAcentral lists this long non-coding RNA (215 nucleotides) under Pelobates cultripes (western spadefoot toad). Lineage: Eukaryota; Metazoa; Chordata; Amphibia; Anura; Pelobatidae. The record is from RNAcentral.